This 497-nucleotide ribosomal RNA is filed under the name uncultured bacterium. RNAcentral describes it as "partial 16S ribosomal RNA". It matches the Rfam family "Bacterial small subunit ribosomal RNA", at positions 28 to 507 of the family's 1533-position model. The record is from RNAcentral.
GAUGAACGCUGGCGGCGUGCCUAAUACAUGCAAGUCGAGCGAACAGACGAGGAGCUUGCUCCUCUGACGUUAGCGGCGGACGGGUGAGUAACACGUGGAUAACCUACCUAUAAGACUGGGAUAACUUCGGGAAACCGGAGCUAAUACCGGAUAAUAUAUUGAACCGCAUGGUUCAAUAGUGAAAGACGGUUUUGCUGUCACUUAUAGAUGGAUCCGCGCCGCAUUAGCUAGUUGGUAAGGUAACGGCUUACCAAGGCAACGAUGCGUAGCCGACCUGAGAGGGUGGUGCGCCACACUGACACUGCACCAGGGUCCAGCCUCUUACGGGGGGCAGCAGUGGGGAAUCUUCCGCAAGGGGCGAAAGCCUGACGGAGCCCCGCCGGGUGAGUGAUAAAGGUCUACGCAUCUAAAAACUCUUUUAUUAGGGAAAAAAAAAUGUGUAAGUAACUAUGCACGUCUUGACGGUACCUAAUCAGAAACCCAGGGCUAACUACGUG